CCUACGGGAGGCAGCAGUAAGGAAUAUUGGUCAAUGGACGAAAGUCUGAACCAGCCAUGCCGCGUGAAGGAUGAAGGUCCUCUGGAUUGUAAACUUCUUUUAUAUGGGACGAAAAAAGGGAAUUCUUUCUCACUUGACGGUACCAUAGGAAUAAGCACCGGCUAACUCCGUGCCAGCAGCCGCGGUAAUACGGAGGGUGCAAGCGUUAUCCGGAUUCACUGGGUUUAAAGGGUGCGUAGGUGGGUAGGUAAGUCAGUGGUGAAAUCUCCGAGCCUAACUCGGAAACUGCCAUUGAUACUAUUUAUCUUGAAUAUCCUGGAGGUGAGCGGAAUAUGUCAUGUAGCGGUGAAAUGCUUAGAUAUGACAUAGAACACCAAUUGCGAAGGCAGCUCACUACGGGAUUAUUGACACUGAGGCACGAAAGCGUGGGGAUCAAACAGGAUUAGAUACCCUGGUAGUCCACGCCCUAAACGAUGGAUACUCGACAUACGCGAUAUACUGUGUGUGUCUGAGCGAAAGCAUUAAGUAUCCCACCUGGAAGUACGACCGCAAGGUUGAAACUCAAAGGAAUUGACGG
RNAcentral lists this ribosomal RNA (577 nucleotides) under uncultured bacterium. RNAcentral's name for it is "bacterial SSU rRNA". It matches the Rfam family "Bacterial small subunit ribosomal RNA", at positions 338 to 916 of the family's 1533-position model. The record is from RNAcentral.